This 65-nucleotide transfer RNA is filed under the name Melarhaphe neritoides. RNAcentral's name for it is "tRNA-Glu". The record is from RNAcentral. Lineage: Eukaryota; Metazoa; Mollusca; Gastropoda; Littorinimorpha; Littorinidae.
GUUUCUGUGGUGUUAUUAGCACAUUAGAUUUUCAUUCUAAAGGAAUAAAUUUAUUUAUUAGAAAU